Molecule: long non-coding RNA, 4474 nt
Filed under: Canis lupus familiaris (dog)
Lineage: Eukaryota; Metazoa; Chordata; Mammalia; Carnivora; Canidae
Description: lncRNA (ENSCAFG00845030542.1)
Source: RNAcentral
AAGCUUUACCCUUGAACUCUGAAGUGCUUUCCUAUAUGUGGUUGGGGGAAAGGGAACAAAUAUUAUUUUAAUUUGUACGAUGAGCAAAGGUAUCACCAGUGUAAAUCAUUAUUCUGCAAUCCACACACAGGUUUGGACAUUACUGUUUUGCAUAUCUUGUGUUCACUUCCGUUUCCCUCCAUUUUUCCAAAACUAUACAAGAAGUAUAUCCAUCCUACAACUUGCUUUGAGAGACCAGGACAUGUCUUAAUCCUGUCUUCAUUCUAUCCACUCUGCUCCAGUUGAUUGGGACUUGGUCUCGGGACAGUCCUGCCCCGUGAGCAUCCCCCAUGGGAGAGGUGGCUGGCUUUUCUGUUCACUUCCACUGCGUGAACUUGCCUCGGUGGCCUCCUCAGGAAAGCGCACACUGAAUGAGAGGAUGAGCUAGAGUCGGGCUGGCUGGAGGGAAGGGAAUCCUCCCUCUGGCAACUGCUCUACCCAAACUCAGAUAGCAGGGGCCAGAGAACAGCAACCAGGUAAAAGCUUUGUCCAUCCCAAAGUCAGCUCUGUCUCAUUCACUUCAUCCUCUCCUUGCUCUGGAGCAGGAUUUCCUCCAGGUCUCCCCUAAUGUGCAUGGCAGACAGGGAGAGGACUGGGACCAGGACUGGGGAGGACACGUCAGGAGUUCGCAGUGAUAAUGGAACCAGAGACACUGUGGGAGCAUCUCUUACGCCUAUUUGCGUCUACCUAGAACGUCAUCCUAUCCAUGCUGUUUCCUUCAAAUAGAUUUCAACAAUGAUGGUUGAAAAGGGAGUGAUUUAGGGAAAACAGGACCCAAACAUUCAUCUAGGAUUUACCCAGGGAAUGUCUUCCAGUGCCAGUAUGUUCCCAGCCCUUUACAGGAGCGACCUACUUGGGACAAGUGAAGAUGAGUUUCACUUUUAAGGACUGAUUCAUGAAAAAGUGGAGAAAUACGCUGAAUGUUCCCAGGUACACUAACAGUGUAGAAGCAGAAGGGUUUCUCCCUGUUUCUCCAAGACUAAACCCUCCAAACUUCUUUGGUUCCUUUUCAGUGCCAUGAGGCCUUCUAGAAAUUACAGUUAGGUGUCAUCUUUGUCCAGUUUUCCAAGAUACCUACCACCGUUCUGCUAAGAUUUUAGUUGUGAUGGAGAGCGAAGCCCUUUUGGAUUGAUAACUGAUUCUUGCUAUACAUGUGGUCCCUAGAUAGAAAUUUGGCAUCUUAACUGACCACAGACACAAACACAUACACACACACACACACACACACACACACCACUCACACCACUCACACAUUCACUCAAACUUUCAUGCUGCUUUCUUUUUUCCCUUUGGACUUGUCUUCUGCAUCACCAAAUCUCAUUGGCCAGUGGCAUGGGCUACACGCUGGGCUUAUGCCAGCUACCCCUAAGGCCCUGCCUAAGUGUGCCCCCUUGCCCUCCACCACUCACACCUACAGAGUCCCUUCUUUCUAGUCAGCUCUGUCAGAAGGUCAGCUGGUCUUGCACCCUACAAGAGCAAAAUCAGCAGUGCCAAGGGAACCUGGCCCUGUGCUGCUGGCAAGGAAAGGAGUUUUAGAUGGGAGUUCCCUGUGGAGGGUGAUGGGUCUCUAUGGCCUGACCUCAUGAUCAACUGGUAUGGUACUGACAGAGGAUACCUGUCAUCAUGGGUGCCUAGGUGGGUCAGUCAGCUAAGCAUCUGCCUUUGGCUCAGGUCAUGAUCCCAGGGUCCUAGGAUCAAGUCCUGCAUCUGCUCCCUGCUGAGCAGAGAAUCUGCUCCUCUGUCUCCCUCUGCCCCUCCUCCCCUUCUCAUUCUGUCUCUUUCUCUCUCUUUCUUAGAGAAAAAUUUUUUAAAAAUAACUUGUUUUUAUUUCUCUCUUUCUUAGCUCUCUCUCUCUAAUAUAUAAAUAAAAUCUUUAAAAAAAGAUACCUGUCAUCAUGACAGAUGGAUAAAAUGAUUCAUAAAAUCACAAACCUCACCCCCUGUGUAUUAAGUGAUAUCUGCCCCCCACCUAGAGCAGAACUUUGCCUAUGACCUUGUAAAACAUAACCAUCAAGUCUUCUGAGAACUUGUGAGUGGCAAAGAGAAAGCAGCCAAUGGCUGAGGACCAAAAGGACCUGAAGAAGUGCAGUGUAAGCUCUGAGAGCAUGAUUUUUAUUUUUCAUCUGAAUGGCUUAUUGUAUUUCUACACUUUGGCCUUUUAAUAGUCAUGUGUCUGGCUAUAUUAAACAGGGAGAUUUUCAGUUGUCUUCUUUCUGCCUGUUUCUAGAAGUUUCUUUUGGUCUUGAGGCAUAAAGAGAAGAAAGUUUUCCUAGAUUUUGGCUUGAACCAUGAAUUUUUCUCUGCUCUGCUUCAAAGAUUAUUAGUCAUAAUCCCUCCCAUCACCUUCUGAGUCUAACAGGCUGCCCUCUGACUGGGAGGUCCAAGGACAAAGGAACAAGACUUCCUUACUCUGUCUUUAUCCUGCGACCCUGCUUCUUCCGGGGCUUGUCUGGAGUGAAGCUAUCAGUUUCUCACAAAUAUUUUCCUUCCAGAUUAUCUCCUGAUCAUUAAGCUAUAGAUAGUAAGACAACCACAGGAGAAGGAUCCCAUUCAAUGCCUGAGACAUAAGAACACCCUGAAAAUGAGGAGUUUGGAAGUCAUCAAAAGGGUUUCGUAGAGGCCAUUUGAUACCUACCCAUCAUUCCUAAAGGUCAAGAUGUGUAACAAGAACCUAAUUUAGGCAUACAGAGUAAGUCUGGUAGUCAGGCUUUUAGCCUCAUCAAACCAUAAUUAUAAAUUUUGCUGAAGAGGAUAAUGGCAUCUCCAUCCUGAGGGACCUGGGGAAAAAAUGAAAUAUCAUUGUCUAAGAGUUAGAAACCCUUUAGCAAAGAGGCCACAAAAGGGCAAUUUGUUUUCAAGAGACCCAUUUAAGCCCCAAUUUAGUAAAACACUCGCUGAUAAGAGCCCAGGUCAGUUCAUAGUGAAGCUCUUGGUCACCACAUCCAGGUUCCUCAUCAGCUCCCUCUGAAGAGACAUAAGGAAAAGAGACAAGGAAACGAAGUGUCCUACAACUAUCAGGGAUGGCAUAGUUUUUCCCUUUCCCCAAGCCAUUCUCUCUAUUCCAGCCUCCUGCCCAACCCCCACUUUCCUUUCCUCCCCUCAGUCUUGUCAGAACAGGGAGUUGGGAGUAGUCCAAUAUGCAGAUUCUUAAAUAGUUUAUGAAGCUAGUUCUGGUUUUAACUUUUUUUUAUUUCAAAGCAAUGAAACCUUGCUUUGUGAAGCCAGAUACCAAUGUAGCAAGUGGUUUCUGCCAGACUUCCACAUGGUUGGAACACACUUGAACACCACACAUACACACACACUCAUACACACUUUCAUCCUCAUACACACACACACACACACACACACACACACACACACUUCCUUAACAGACAGGUGCAGGUGCUGGGGUUGAGCCCUGCACAAAUGAUAUUGUCCUCCCAAAGGGCUGAGCACUGUAUAGAGAGAUGUGGAGAGAGGACCAGAGUAACUUCCUUGAGUAGAAAUAGUGCCAUCGGGCCCUAUUAUUACUGUGAACUAAAUAUUAUUUAUCUACAUUGAGAGAUACAACUACAUCUACAAUCAGACUUUUCCCUCACAUGAUUUUAAGAGGCUUGCUCCAGAAAAGAUGCAGUGGUAGAUUCUUCAGCUCUCCGAUAUACUGGAAAAGCCCUUUGAUCAGUCUCUGAAAGGGAAUUAGAGAUUGCCAGCAAAAUAUAUUGAGCUGAGUUGAACAAAUCAAUUCAACACUGAGAGUAGAGUCAAGAGUUGGGACUUCCACAGAACUCCCCUCAGUCUCCACUAAAUUAAGGAAGACAAAAGACAAAGACUAGAUAAUUAAACAAAAGCUUGAAAUGUUACAUCACCAGAGUCAAAUAUUCUCCCUUCAGAUUGCAUACUGGCCUCUUCAUAGCUGUACCGUCUUUUGGAGGGCGUCCCAUGCAUCCGACUUUCCAGAAUCUAAUCUGACUUGAUAAGGUUCCUAGAAAGGGCAACAUGACAUUUAAUCUACCCUAAAUCCAACAUUUACUAUAAAUUUGCCAUCUAAAAAUCAUUGGUGUACCUCAUACAUAAGAAAGUGUUUCACCUAUGUCAUUAUUAAAGAGGUCUCUUGGUGAAGAGGUUGUAAAUCUUAAGGGAGGGUAAUUUCUAUGUGAAGAAACACAGAAAUGGACAGGAUUUUUCCUAUUCACUGUUUGAGCCUAGAGAACUGUUCUGAUGCUCCUCGAGUGUGUAAGCAGAGGGACGGGAAUGAGCGGGCACCAGCCGGGCAGUGGGUCACUGCUGACGCACGCCGUACUGCAUGCCUGCGGGCCUCAGACACUCUGCAUGCAGUCUCUCCUGAGCCCGCAACCCAGAGAGGAAAGAGAAGGCUCCCUUCUACAGGGUCACAGGAGGAGCAAAAGAGGACAGGUCACUGUGUCCUGUGCCAAACCCCCUCCCCUGAGAUUUCCCA